AAGAAAUUGGCAUGUAAGGACUAGG
Molecule: non-coding RNA, 25 nt
Filed under: Cricetulus griseus (Chinese hamster)
Lineage: Eukaryota; Metazoa; Chordata; Mammalia; Rodentia; Cricetidae
Source: RNAcentral